Coffea arabica (coffee) is the source of this 326-nucleotide non-coding RNA. NCBI's taxonomy places the organism in Eukaryota, Viridiplantae, Streptophyta, Magnoliopsida, Gentianales, Rubiaceae. The record is from RefSeq and is a predicted model, not a curated record.
AGUGUUGGCCGAAUUUCAGCUCAAGGAAGAGAGAGAGAGAGAGCUCCCAAAUCAGGUUUUCUUACCUAAACAAAUCAAAGACCAAAAUUCAAGAGAGGAAUUUAGGGUUUGCAAGGAAGCUUUCUUUGUUUUAGUGUUGAAUCCCAACCUUGGAGCCUCUACUUGGUGGAUUUCUUGGUGAUUUGAACACCUUGUAAGUAAGGAUCGGGAAACAGAGGUGACUGUAACUGAAUCAUUUGAAGUUGAUAAUGACUUUUGUUUGACAGAGCGGGAAGGCUUUUGAUCAAAGGCAUACUUAGCUUUAUUUUGCCGUUUUGCGUUUUGAG